Molecule: long non-coding RNA, 1330 nt
Organism: Lactuca sativa (garden lettuce)
Lineage: Eukaryota; Viridiplantae; Streptophyta; Magnoliopsida; Asterales; Asteraceae
Source: RefSeq, a predicted model, not a curated record
AUCGUCGCCUCUAUCAUCCGUCACACAUGAUUGAGUGAGGAAAUGGUGGCUUUUUUCCCUUUUGUUUCUUGUGCAUCACAACUUCUAACGCUAUUUGGGAUUUGCGUAUUCCCUCUUCAAUUGAAGCUUCAAACAGGUCUGGGGUUUUUGUAGGCAACGUAGCAACACCCUGAUGAGCCCUAACUUCUUUUUUGGUUUCGAUUUUGGAAUCAAAUAUCGAUUAUCGACAAAAACAAUAUCAUUCAGGUAAUAAAGAACGACCAGCUUCUUCUCCUUUCUCCUCUCUAUUUCAUCGCUUUUCUCUAUCUGCAAAGGCUUCAAUGCCAUCAUCGAGCAACACAUAAAAUGAUGGACGCUCAGCUACGUUGUCAGAUUGCUUUCCGGAAUGUCCGGCAUCUCCAGGCAUUUAUCCAUCUUCUGAUCCCUCCAUGUCCUGUUUCGCUUUUGGUGGCUCGCUUCGGGUGGUCGGUGGCAGAUUUCUAUCUGAUCAACAUUCAUUUGAUUCUUGAUUGCAGCCAAAAUAUGUGUUUCAAUUUACAGGAAAGGAAUUGUAUCUGGAGAUGUGAUAGAGAAGACUGGAAACAAGGCAAAAAAGAAUGCAAGACAUGGGUUUCAAUUUACAGAAAGGAAUUCUAUCUGGAGAUGUGAUGGAGAAGACUGGAAAGGAGGCAAAAAAGAAUAAUCAUUAAGAACAUGGAAUAUGUUGCACGCUCCCUAAGAAUUAGCCAUUUUUUCCUUUUUUUGUGUCUUCUGCUGGUGUGGAACACCAUUUGAAACAGACAAUAAACAAGAUUGUUAUUUUGACAUCAAUGUGUCAUAAUUUCGCAUCCCUGAAAUAAAUGGUAAAGAUGCCUUCAUGGAAUUAGAUAAAUAAGUGUUUCAUUUGAAAUGGAUAUGCAUUAGGUAUCAAGUGUUUGACAAGGUUGGUAAUUGGUGUUUGCAAGUCUGUUGAUAAAAAUGUUGAGAAGCUAAUGGUAAAGAGAGAUGGAGGAUCUUUCUUGCGAUGUGCUCAAACGGUAGUGCAGAACAUGACAGCAGCCAUGGACAUAUGCAAGAAAAUCGUUAAAGACCACCCAACAACUUGACCAGCCCAUAUCAUAUGCUUUUGCCACGAUCUAAUAUCCUUCCUACUGUAUCCAAAAUGUAUGUAAUCCAAUAUCAUGUAGUCAUUUGCUAAUGAAUGAAUAUCUUUUGAUCCAUAUUAUGUUGCAAAUUACAUAAAUUCAUCCGGUUAAAAAACGAAAUCAGAUAAAGUUGUUUGUAUAUUUUGAAAAGAUGUUGAAUACUUUGAAUUGCAGUCAAAUAUUGCUAUCAUUUAUUUUAGAGAAGA